GUCACACUGUCUCAGUACAAAAUCCUCGUUUCGGAUGUGAAGUUUUGUUUACAGCUACUUGUGUUUCCGAAUGCCUUCCCAACAUUCCAGCGGAAGUGAACAUUUAGUGAUAUUGUUACGACCUCAGGUUAAACACGAAAUUCAGUGAAGUUAAAGUUCGUCGGGAAGUCGGGUCAACCACUCGUGCGUUCACCACAAGGUGUCGUUGGGAUGAAACAGGUGUUCGGACCAGAGAGUCGUGUUAAAGUCAGGUGUUUCUGGUCGCUUGUUCUCCUGUGCCUCUGCGGGCUUGUCGUGGCACAGGUGACGAACAGGAUCUCCUACUACCUCAGUGACCCCGUCCGCGUCACCAUGAAGAUCAAGAGAUCGUCUCAGAUGAAAUUCCCCGCUGUUACCCUCUGUUACAAGUCUUUCGUAAA
Molecule: long non-coding RNA, 419 nt
Organism: Penaeus monodon (black tiger shrimp)
Lineage: Eukaryota; Metazoa; Arthropoda; Malacostraca; Decapoda; Penaeidae
Exons: 3
Source: RefSeq, a predicted model, not a curated record